RNAcentral lists this ribosomal RNA (256 nucleotides) under uncultured bacterium. RNAcentral describes it as "partial 16S ribosomal RNA". It matches the Rfam family "Bacterial small subunit ribosomal RNA", at positions 96 to 353 of the family's 1533-position model. The record is from RNAcentral.
UGGCGAACGGGUGAGUAAUACAUAAGUAACCUGCCCUAGACAGGGGGAUAACUAUUGGAAACGGUAGCUAAUACCGCAUAACGUCGCAAGACCAAAGAGGGGGACCUUCGGGCCUCUUGCCAUCGGAUGUGCCCAGAUGGGAUUAGCUAGUAGGUGGGGUAACGGCUCACCUAGGCGACGAUCCCUAGCUGGUCUGAGAGGAUGACCAGCCACACUGGAACUGAGACACGGUCCAGACUCCUACGGAGGCAGCAUG